Molecule: ribosomal RNA, 486 nt
Filed under: uncultured bacterium
Lineage: Bacteria
Description: partial 16S ribosomal RNA
Rfam family: Bacterial small subunit ribosomal RNA
Source: RNAcentral
GAUAAACGCUGGCGGCGUGCUUAACACAUGCAAGUCGAACGGAAAGGCCUCAGCUUGCUGGGGUACUCGAGUGGCGAACGGGUGAGUAACACGUGGGUGAUCUGCCCUGCACUUUGGGAUAAGCUUGGGAAACUGGGUCUAAUACCGAAUAUGACCACUUCUUGGAUGUUGUGGUGGAAAGCUUUUGCGGUGUGGGAUGAGCCUGCGGCCUAUCAGCUUGUUGGUGGGGUAAUGGCCUACCAAGGCGGCGACGGGUAUCCGGCCUGAGAGGGGGUACGGACACAUUGGGACUGAGAUACGGCCCAGACUCCUACGGGAGGCAGCAGUGGGGAAUAUUGCACAAUGGGCGCAAGCCUGAUGCAGCGACGCCGCGUGGGGGAUGAAGGCCUUCGGGUUGUAAACUCCUUUCGCUAUCGACGAAGCCACUUGUGGUGACGGUAGGUAGAUAAGAAGCACCGGCUAACUACGUGCCAGCCGCCGCAGUAA